GCUUUCAACAUCCCCGUCUCGGAGGCGAAAAGACGGUUUCGGCGUGAGCCGAUGCCAGAAGGCCUCGAGAGACUGAAGGC
This 80-nucleotide small RNA is filed under the name unclassified sequences. RNAcentral describes it as "NAD+-I sequence". It matches the Rfam family "nadA riboswitch". The record is from Rfam by way of RNAcentral.